AAUCAACGCUGGCGGCGUGCCUCAGACAUGCAAGUCGAACGCGAAAGUUUCCUUCGGGGAGCGAGUAGAGUGGCGCACGGGUGAGUAACACGUAGGUAAUCUACCUUCGGAUGGGGAAUAACAAUCGGAAACGGUUGCUAAUACCGCAUAAUGCAGCGGCACCUAAUGGUGACAGUUGUUAAAGCGGGGGAUCGUAAGACCUCGCGUCUGAAGAGGAGCCUGCGGCGGAUUAGCUUGUUGGUAAGGUAAUGGCUUACCAAGGCGACGAUCCGUAACCGGCCUGAGAGGGCGGUCGGUCACACUGACACUGACAUACGGGUCAGACUCCUACGGGAGGCAGCAGUCGGGAAUUUUGGGCAAUGGGCGAAAGCCUGACCCAGCAACGCCGCGUGAAGGAUGAAAUCCCUCGGGAUGUAAACUUCGCAAGAACGGGAAGAAUAAGCGAG
Molecule: ribosomal RNA, 446 nt
Filed under: uncultured bacterium
Lineage: Bacteria
Description: bacterial SSU rRNA
Rfam family: Bacterial small subunit ribosomal RNA
Source: RNAcentral